GUGGGGAAUCUUGCGCAAUGGGCGAAAGCCUGACGCAGCCAUGCCGCGUGAAUGAUGAAGGUCUUAGGAUUGUAAAAUUCUUUCACCGGGGACGAUAAUGACGGUACCCGGAGAAGAAGCUCCGGCUAACUUCGUGCCAGCAGCCGCGUUAAUACGAAGGGGGCUAGCGUUGCUCGGAAUUACUGGGCGUAAAGGGCGCGUAGGCGGACAGCUUAGUCAGAGGUGAAAGCCCAGGGCUCAACCUUGGAAUUGCCUUUGAUACUGGCUGUCUUGAGUUUGGGAGAGGUGAGUGGAACUCCGAGUGUAGAGGUGAAAUGCGUAGAUAUUCGGAAGAACACCAGUGGCGAAGGCGACUCACUGGCCCAAUACUGACGCUGAGGCGCGAAAGCGUGGGGAGCAAACAGGAUUAGAUACCCCUGUAGUCC
Molecule: ribosomal RNA, 425 nt
Filed under: uncultured bacterium
Lineage: Bacteria
Description: partial 16S ribosomal RNA
Rfam family: Bacterial small subunit ribosomal RNA
Source: RNAcentral